This 253-nucleotide ribosomal RNA is filed under the name uncultured bacterium. Its description in RNAcentral is "partial 16S ribosomal RNA". It matches the Rfam family "Bacterial small subunit ribosomal RNA", at positions 524 to 776 of the family's 1533-position model. The record is from RNAcentral.
UACAGAGGGGGCAAGCGUUGUUCGGAAUUACUGGGCGUAAAGGGCGCGUAGGCGGCCUGCUAAGUCGAACGUGAAAUCCCCGGGCUCAACCCGGGAACUGCGUCCGAUACUGGCAGGCUUGAAUCCGGGAGAGGGAUGUGGAAUUCCAGGUGUAGCGGUGAAAUGCGUAGAUAUCGGGAGGAACACCAGUGGCGAAGGCGGGUCUCUGGGCCACUACUGACGCUGAGGAGCGAAAGCGUGGGGAGCGAACAGG